Heterocephalus glaber (naked mole-rat) is the source of this 1839-nucleotide long non-coding RNA. The record is from Ensembl. NCBI's taxonomy places the organism in Eukaryota, Metazoa, Chordata, Mammalia, Rodentia, Bathyergidae.
CUCGUCCUUCACAACUGUCGCUUCCAUUUCUCCUCAGUCUCUUGUUUCUCCUCCAUACUGCCUCUCGUUCCUUCUUCCCUUCCCUCUCCGCUUCUCCUUUCUUCUUUCCCUCCUUCCCCUUCUUUUCCUCUACCCUUUCCUUACCUUUGCUCCCAGAUCUCUGUCCUCCCACCUGCCCUUCUCUAGGUCGAGCCUGGCACAGGCCCCAGCACCUCAGGACUCACAGGGCGGUGCCAGCUCCAUUUGGCACCAACAUAAACUAAUGGUGCUCUUGAAAACAGGGAGACAGGUAAAUUACUCUCCUGUCUUCUGUCACUGUCGUUUCAUCUGUCCAGCAUAUUUCCAGUCGGUGUUGGAUUUAAUUUUCCUCCCCAGUCUGCUUUCCAACUAUCGAAUUCCUAAUUUUCUUACUUAUCUGGUGGUUAAGAUAUGAAACGAUCAGAGAAAUACCGUAUUUUUAAAAAUACCAAGAUUUUUCAAAUGAGAAAAACACCUCGAGUGAUCUGCAUAAAACAGGAGAAACGAAAAGGCUCAGGGCCAGACAGGUUCGGAACCAGUAUCAGCCACGAACACUCAGGGAAGUACGCCUGGACGCCUCUUUGAGGGUAGGAGAGUGCGUUCUCUUCACUAGAGAAACAAAGCAAACCCGAAAUUCUGCCACCGCCGCCGGAACGCCCCGUUCAGAGGGACGGCGGGACGCGCAGGGUUGGCCUUCAGUUGCGCAAGGUCAGGCCGGGAGGGCUCGGCUUUCCUGGGGUCGGGCUGGAUGUGGAGAGGCGCCAGGUUCAGACGCCGUGUCCCGGACGGGAAGCGCUGCCGAGCUCGUCUGGGGCAAUCCCGGGCUGCUCGGUGGGCCGGAGGCGCGGGCGCGCGCCAGGCCCAGCGGGACGCCCCACGCGCACCGCGCGGCCCGGAGCUCACGGACCGGUCGGGGCUCGCGGGGCGGGGCGGAAGCGGGGAGUAGCGCGGGGGAGGAACCCUCAGCCCCGCGAGCCCGGAACCCUCAGCCCCGCGAGCCCCUCCCCGCCGCCCAAGCCCGGGAGGCCCCUUACCCCGAGGGCGCGUCGCGUCCAGGAUGCGCCUCCAGGAGGGAGGGAAGCGGGGUCAGUGUGCUCCGUUUCGCGCAGGAGCCGGGAGCGGGAGCGCGGUUCGCAGCCCGGGUCCUCGCCCUGCGGUGCCCACCCCUGCCCGCGGGGAGCGGGCCGCGGCGCCGCGCAGGGUCACACAGACUAGAUGCUGGGCACAUUUUCAUCGAAUAAAUGCAUGAACUAGGAUAAUUUUCAUAUCAAAGAAAUCACUUCACGACCAGUCAGCUAACAAGAAAAUCUAAGGAAACUGUGUAAUAUCGGCUCCAUUGUGCUGUCAAGUUGCACCAGCAGCUCUCAAGGUGUCUGCACUGAAAUUGUUGUGGCUGGCGUGGCAGUUUUCCUGGGUGCGGAGUACGGCGUUGCAGCAAAAAAUGCUGCUUCGAUUCCAGGGACGGACGGAAUAUGGAAGUGGCCUCAUGAAUGGCUGCGUUGGACUUAUGGUGCUUUUAUUAAAAGUAACAGGAGGCACAGUAAUUAUAUUCAUUUUGUUCUAGAAUGCUCGUCUACAUGUUUCAGACCCGUCUACAAGGCGAUGUACAAUCUUCUCUGCCUGGCUCCCGUCAUCUCGGCGUCGGGCGACCGUCUUGGGCUGUUGGGUGGAGGCUGCCUGAUUGUAGCACAGAAAGCCCUGCACAUCGGCCCAGCCCUGGCAACCAGGUGUCUGAAUCUCCAUGUGCAGGGCCAUCCCGGCUCCAGGAGGUUCUCAAAACACAGCAGCAGCAUCCAUUUCUUUUGUCUGUGUUUAACCCAG